RNAcentral lists this ribosomal RNA (210 nucleotides) under uncultured bacterium. Its description in RNAcentral is "partial 16S ribosomal RNA". It matches the Rfam family "Bacterial small subunit ribosomal RNA", at positions 335 to 563 of the family's 1533-position model. The record is from RNAcentral.
AUUCCUACGGGAGGCAGCAGUGGGGAAUUUUGCACAAUGGGGGCAACCCUGAUGCAGCGACGCCGCGUGAUUUGGAAGGCCUUCGGGUUGUAAAAAUCUUUUGUAUGGGAAGAAAAUGACAGUACCAUACGAAUAAGGACCGGCUAAUUACGUGCCAGCAGCCGCGGUAAUACGUAAGGUCCGAGCGUUGUCCGGAAUCAUUGGGCGUAA